This 1337-nucleotide unclassified non-coding RNA is filed under the name Sitophilus oryzae (rice weevil). RNAcentral's name for it is "protein cortex-like, transcript variant X1". Lineage: Eukaryota; Metazoa; Arthropoda; Insecta; Coleoptera; Curculionidae. The record is from RNAcentral.
UGCAGUAUGUGAAUUUGCUUAGUAUCUAUCUUGGUGCUGAACAGAAAUUGUCGGUUGUUAUUAUGAGUACUUAUCGCAAUAAAUAUACGGUGGAUAGAUAUAUUCCUAACAGAGCAUACAUAAACUCUGAAUUUGCUCAGUACAAUUAUUUGGCUCGUUCUAAUGAAUGCCUAUCCUCCACUCUUAUAGAGCAGAGACUACUAAAUGAACCUUUUAUCAAUACAGCGAAAUAUGCAAAUGUCGUUACUAACUACAGAAAACAAUUACAACAUGCGCUGUUCGAGACUCCUCAUUCAAGUAAAAAGAAAAGUCACAAGAUUAUUCCAGAAAGAGACACAUGGCCUGUAGUAGCGAGAAAAAAACCUUUAAUAGAAAGACCAGUUACUAUUUUAGAUAUGCCUGAUAUCAGUACAACAAUAUACCAUCACGUAAUAGACUGGGGUAAACAUGGCCGACUGGCUACGAUUUUUCACGAAGAAGUACACCUUUGGCCUUCACUGGAUAAUCAGCCGACCAAAACCGAUACUGGCGGUACUAUUCUGGAAUGCGUAAAAUGGAAUCGAUCGGGCACCAAGUUUGCCGUAUCCAGAACCAUAUCCGGGCUCAGUAUCAUGGAUGGCGAAACUUUAAAAUUGGUUGCAAGUUACCCUUGUAAAUGUCCGAUGGAAUGCCACAUAACGAGUAUAGCUUGGACUGAAAAGGAUAAUGUCAUAGCGGGUUGCUCGAGAGGUUGUAUCUCGAUAAUCAGCAAAAAUAGUCCUACGGUGGUGUACUGUCGUCCCAAUAUUUUGCGCGACGAAAUUAUCGACAUAAAGUUAUCGUGUAACGAUAACUACUUGGUUUUAAGAGGAAUGAAAGGAACUUGCGCCAUUUUUAAAAUGCCAGUUGAAGAAGCAAAAGAUCCCUGGUUGACAUUUAAUAAGAAUCGGGGUUUUAUAAAAACAACGGCUUGGCAUCCAUGGAAAGAAUCUAUAUUGGUAGUGGGAGAUUUACAAAACAGCAUUACAAUAUGGAAUGUAAACAGUGAAAAACUGAUAGACCGUGCUAAUCCGAGACCUUUAUUCAAAGAGCCUUACACUUUGGAUUGUCUUACUUUCAACCCACUUUCAGCAGAACUGUUGGUAUGCCUUUUGUACACUCUACAACAUUCAACAUACAGUAAAAUUUUGUAAAAUAGUAUGGAAUGAAAAUAUGAAAUAGUAAAUCUAAUAUAGAAAGUUUUCAGUGAGCUUCUACUGUGAAGAUGCAGAUCAGGAUUCCAGUUUGGGAUACAAUUUCUUAUCAAUUUUUAGCAAUAUUCAAACUAUAGUAGACGAAGUGAAAUUUCAUAAUGCCAG